UACGGGGGGAGCAAGCGUUGUUCGGAUUUACUGGGCGUAAAGGGCGCGUAGGCGGCCAGCACAAGUCAGUUGUGAAAUCUCCGAGCUUAACUCGGAAAGGUCAACUGAUACUGUGCGGCUAGAGUGCGGAAGGGGCAACUGGAAUUCUUGGUGUAGCGGUGAAAUGCGUAGAUAUCAAGAGGAACACCUGCGGCGAAGGCGGGUUGCUGGGCUGACACUGACGCUGAGGCGCGAAAGCUAGGGGAGCGAACGGG
Molecule: ribosomal RNA, 254 nt
Filed under: uncultured bacterium
Lineage: Bacteria
Description: partial 16S ribosomal RNA
Rfam family: Bacterial small subunit ribosomal RNA
Source: RNAcentral